This 72-nucleotide transfer RNA is filed under the name SAR324 cluster bacterium. Its description in RNAcentral is "tRNA-Lys". It matches the Rfam family "tRNA". Rfam says of the family: Transfer RNA (tRNA) molecules are approximately 80 nucleotides in length. The record is from RNAcentral. Lineage: Bacteria; Deltaproteobacteria.
AAGUGUGUAGCUCAGUGGCAGAGCAUUGGACUUUUAAUCCAUUGGUCUUGAGUUCGAACCUCAAUACACUUA